AGCAGCUUGCUGCUUUGCUGACGAGUGGCGGACGGGUGAGUAAUGUCUGGGAAACUGCCUGAUGGAGGGGGAUAACUACUGGAAACGGUAGCUAAUACCGCAUAACGUCGCAAGACCAAAGAGGGGGACCUUAGGGCCUCUUGCCAUCGGAUGUGCCCAGAUGGGAUUAGCUAGUAGGUGGGGUAACGGCUCACCUAGGCGACGAUCCCUAGCUGGUCUGAGAGGAUGACCAGCCACACUGGAACUGAGACACGGUCCAGACUCCUACGGGAGGCAGCAGUGGGGAAUAUUGCACAAUGGGCGCAAGCCUGAUGCAGCCAUGCCGCGUGUAUGAAGAAGGCCUUCGGGUUGUAAAGUACUUUCAGCGGGGAGGAAGGGAGUAAAGUUAAUACCUUUGCUCAUUGACGUUACCCGCAGAAGAAGCACCGGCUAACUCCGUGCCAGCAGCCGCGGUAAUACGGAGGGUGCAAGCGUUAAUCGGAAUUACUGGGCGUAAAGCGCACGCAGGCGGUUUGUUAAGUCAGAUGUGAAAUCCCCGGGCUCAACCUGGGAACUGCAUCUGAUACUGGCAAGCUUGAGUCUCGUAGAGGGGGGUAGAAUUCCAGGUGUAGCGGUGAAAUGCGUAGAGAUCUGGAGGAAUACCGGUGGCGAAGGCGGCCCCCUGGACGAAGACUGACGCUCAGGUGCGAAAGCGUGGGAGCAAACAGGAUUAGAUACCCUGGUAGUCCACGCCGUAAACGAUGUCGACUUGGAGGUUGUGCCCUUGAGGCGUGGCUUCCGGAGCUAACGCGUUAAGUCGACCGCCUGGGGAGUACGGCCGCAAGGUUAAAACUCAAAUGAAUUGACGGGGGCCCGCACAAGCGGUGGAGCAUGUGGUUUAAUUCGAUGCAACGCGAAGAACCUUACCUGGUCUUGACAUCCACGGAAGUUUUCAGAGAUGAGAAUGUGCCUUCGGGAACCGUGAGACAGGUGCUGCAUGGCUGUCGUCAGCUCGUGUUGUGAAAUGUUGGGUUAAGUCCCGCAACGAGCGCAACCCUUAUCCUUUGUUGCCAGCGGUCCGGCCGGGAACUCAAAGGAGACUGCCAGUGAUAAACUGGAGGAAGGUGGGGAUGACGUCAAGUCAUCAUGGCCCUUACGACCAGGGCUACACACGUGCUACAAUGGCGCAUACAAAGAGAAGCGACCUCGCGAGAGCAAGCGGACCUCAUAAAGUGCGUCGUAGUCCGGAUUGGAGUCUGCAACUCGACUCCAUGAAGUCGGAAUCGCUAGUAAUCGUGGAUCAGAAUGCCACGGUGAAUACGUUCCCGGGCCUUGUACACACCGCCCGUCACACCAUGGGAGUGGGUUGCAAAAGAAGUA
This 1359-nucleotide ribosomal RNA is filed under the name Escherichia coli. Its description in RNAcentral is "bacterial SSU rRNA". It matches the Rfam family "Bacterial small subunit ribosomal RNA", at positions 74 to 1428 of the family's 1533-position model. The record is from RNAcentral. Lineage: Bacteria; Pseudomonadati; Pseudomonadota; Gammaproteobacteria; Enterobacterales; Enterobacteriaceae.